GUGGAGGUAGUAUAUAUAAUAUGAAUUUUUGAAAAAAAUUUGAAAUCAUUUUUUUUGUGAUCUUUCACA
RNAcentral lists this transfer RNA (69 nucleotides) under Rhopalaea idoneta. RNAcentral describes it as "transfer RNA-Phe". The record is from RNAcentral. Lineage: Eukaryota; Metazoa; Chordata; Ascidiacea; Aplousobranchia; Diazonidae.